GUCUUUGUAGCUCAGUUGGUAGAGCGUUGCACUGAAAAUGCAAAGGUCUCUAGUUCAAAUCUAGACGAAGACACCA
Molecule: transfer RNA, 76 nt
Filed under: Caudoviricetes sp.
Lineage: Duplodnaviria; Heunggongvirae; Uroviricota; Caudoviricetes
Description: tRNA-Phe
Rfam family: tRNA
About the family: Transfer RNA (tRNA) molecules are approximately 80 nucleotides in length. Their secondary structure includes four short double-helical elements and three loops (D, anti-codon, and T loops). Further hydrogen bonds mediate the characteristic L-shaped molecular structure. tRNAs have two regions of fundamental functional importance: the anti-codon, which is responsible for specific mRNA codon recognition, and the 3' end, to which the tRNAs corresponding amino acid is attached (by aminoacyl-tRNA synthetases). tRNAs cope with the degeneracy of the genetic code in two manners: having more than one tRNA (with a specific anti-codon) for a particular amino acid; and 'wobble' base-pairing, i.e. permitting non-standard base-pairing at the 3rd anti-codon position.
Source: RNAcentral